Manis javanica (Malayan pangolin) is the source of this 10501-nucleotide non-coding RNA. NCBI's taxonomy places the organism in Eukaryota, Metazoa, Chordata, Mammalia, Pholidota, Manidae. The record is from RefSeq and is a predicted model, not a curated record.
AGAGCUGGAAUAGAAGAACAGCAGUAGGGAUGUGCCCGGAAACGCCUGUCGCCACGACGUGGGGAGCGCCCCUCCACAAAAACAGCCGGAGGAGCUCGGACAUCCUGGGCGGCUCGUCGGCAGUGAGACCCCCGCGCACGUCCAGUCCAGUCGGGGGAAACCGUACCUCCUGAUAUCUUAGCGCUUUGCAAGGUCUAAGACGCCUUCCUCCGUCGGGUCACAUCCCCGUUUGAGCUACCACCUAAGACGCGGAAAACUCCCUUUCAGAGAGUUAAAACUCCAGCCGGAGUCUGCAUGCCGUCCAGCUUCCGGGUCCCCUCCUCUUGGGACACGUAGGUGGAGCCCCGAGCCACCGAGUAAGUGAAAGGGCUCCUCGAACCACCCGCCACCCCCGUCCCUGCACAUUAGGCCUCCCACCCGCACCCCGAAACUGCCUCCCUCUGUGCCCUGAGACACCCCAGAGUGAGUCUGAUAAGCGCGCUGUGGCUCCAAGGAAUCCAGAAUAUGGACUCCAGUCUCCUUGUCUCACAAAACCAAGUCACCUCGCUCCUUCAACAGAGACUGGCCGGUAGGGAGGGACGGGCGCGGGGGACGGUCCCAAUUCUAGGUGGACUUACAGCGCAAGAGAUCCAACCCGCGCGCCCUUUGCCUGGACGGGAUCACCCGCUGGGGCACCACCAAAGCGCAGAGCGCGCCCAGAAGGACCUGAGCGGCGACCCCCCGCCGCGGUCAAUACCCGUUCGGGGCCAGCGCUGGUCUCCGCGGUGGCCGUGACCCUGCAGGGAAACGCCGGGAGCGCCCCUCCCACGUGCGUCGCGGACCUCUUGGGCCCGCUCAGUCCCCCGGAGUUGGCAGAGGAUCGCUCCUAGCGCAGGACUCCGGGCAGCUCGUGUUUAGAACGAGAGCGCAAAUUCUAUUUCCAAGAACUGUGACAACGUGAGCGGCCGCCCGCCAUUGCGCCGUCAUCAGGCUUGUUUACCAAUUUUAAGUCUUUAUCAUGCAGGAAACGUGAUUUCAUCAAAGUAGAAAAUAAACGCAAAAGAAUGCCCAGCCCCUAACUCGAGGACUUGUGUAUCCAUUAUCUCGGGAUUCCUCCAAAGUAGGGUUCUGGACUGCAGUUUUCCCAUAACUAAAUGUAAAGACAUGUGACCUUUGGGAACCGAGAAAAAAGGAUCCACAUCCCAUUGCCAAAGCAGUUACAGGAAGUCAUGAGAGGUCAUUAUUUCAGUCUCUUGCAAUGCAGAAAAGACCAGUUUCAUUUUGCACUGCUGUGGCUCCAACUCAGAACACAGCAUGUGUGUGGGCAGGGGUCAGAUGGGCCAUUGUUCCAUGAGUGGCGCCCAGAAGCCAAUCCCUGGGGCCCAUGGAGUCCAUGGAAGCUGCCCUGGCUGAGCCCAGGGCUUUCUCUGACCUAAGCAGCCAAAGAGGUGACCCGGCACCUAUCUCAGAAUCCAGAAAGGACACCUACUCAAUAAGUCUCUGAAGAAUGAACGGAAAGGAAUGCAUUAAUAAGUUAAUGAAGUAUGGAAGAGUUACUGAAACUGCUUAAUAUGGUCAUUGCUUCACAUACCUGAUGGGAAAAUCAUCACCCAGUAUUUUUUCUGAAAUAAACUGGGCUCUAGGCCUCCAACAGAUUGGAUGGGACCCACCCCAUCUUCUUUACUUGAGUUCACCGAUUCAAAUGCUGAUCCCCUCCGGAAACACCCUCCCAGAGCCACGGUGUGGAUAUGCCAGCCAGGAAUGGAGCCGAAGCAGGAGCAUGGUGGGCAAACUUCUCCUUGGGUCUCACCCUCCGGGCUGCAGGAAUCUAUUUCCAGAGUGCUGAGAUAUACCAGAUGGCAUCAUUUUCUUGGGUCUCGAGGUGCCUUUGGAGGAAGAGUAUGUGUUGAUCCAUAGGCCACAACAACUAAAAAUCCUAAGAUCUCUCUCAGCGGGCCCCGCCACCACCCGGUGUGGGAUUCCACAUUCACCUGAGCGCUCCAGAGGAGGGAACAAUUGGCCCCAUGCCAGGGGAUACCACAGUGGCAGCCAAAGACGCAAGUGGUGAUCCCCCAACCCCACCAUGAGGACAGUGCUCCAGGGCUCCCAACUGACCUGAAUUUGUAUGCAGUGACACGGUCAGAAACUCAAGAUGAAGUGUGAGAAGAUGGGCACCUCUUGGGAGUAGCCAGGGCCAGCCCGGAGGCAUUGAGCUGGGGACCAAGGAUAGAGCAAGUUGCAAAACCAGACCUGGUUCCUGUUCAUGUUGCUCAAACUGUAGGGGGGAGAAAAAUGUUGGUCAAAGACUUGUUGUGACCAAAUGUCAGAUGGCACCAGGACUAUUCUUCCCCCUGGGUGGAGACCGCCACUUGGUUGUCUGGAAAUGAUGGUGGCCAGUGUUCAGUGGGAAAAGACUGGAUCACCUAAAAGCAAUGGGCUUGCCAUUACAGCACCGGCUGCCAAUAGAAAGCCCUGAAUGCUUCAAGCCAGUGAAGGAGAAGCCACAUUUCCCACGGUGACUGCUGGGUCAGCAGCCCCUGUUGCCUUUCCACCCUGGGACAGGGUUUUAUAUUUUGAAGUAGGUUCAUAUCUGUUAUUCUUUGAUCAUCACAACAGCCCUUGAGGCUCUUCUUUUUCAGAUGAAGGUAUGAUGAUUCCUCUGCGGAGCACACGGUCCUGGAGCUGCAAGCCCUCCCCUCACUUGGCUCCAGGCGGUCUUCCUCCGCGCUUCAGGACAUCCUAUUUGUGGUACCUCAAGGUGGUAGUGAAGUAUGCCAAUCGUUAAUUUCGAUUCACUCUCAUGAAAUAUCUCUUAGUGGUAGACUCCAGGUGCCCUCAAAUGUGCUCUGUUUUAACAUUUCUCAGGCAGUCCCACAAGGGGGCACCAAGAGCUCUCUGAGUGGACCCAGUUCCCCCAGCCGUUGUUGCGAUAGUUUUAGGCAUUCCUUGUGCAUGACCAGAACAGAAAACUUCACACUGAUGAAUUUUGGGGCAAAAAAUGCACUUACUACAGCUUACUUGGUCAAAAUACUACUUUAACCCACUGGACGGAACUGGUUUCUUCUCAGAAGCACGUGCUAAAUGUAAGGGCUAUUUCCCUCACACCCUUAUUCUUGCCCUGUGUUAGUUCGUGGGGUAUUUUCUCAUAAUUAGGUCCCGCUGAUGUUUAUCAGAUCCUCCCACCUCUUAACAUUCCCCCCACGCCUCACGGCAUGUGGAUACAGCAACCCUAAGAACUAAGGUCUAGUGAUGUUCAUUUAAUGUUGUAAGCGCCUCAGAGGCAGGGCCCACGCCCUGUGCUUUGUGUAUCCCUGCAGGCGCCGUGCAGCAGGGCCAUCUUGGCACCCCCGUGAGGAGGGGGCUGUGGCCUGCACACAGCGGUCACUCAGACACCGGCCCACCAAGCCUCGGCGACACCCAGCAUCAUUUCCGCUGCAGUUUACUCACUGAGUCCACUGCAGGGGAGCUCCCACACACUUCAAGGCCUGGGGAAAUGGAGUCUCGAUGGGGCAGUGACAACAUUCUGGAAGAGCAUGUGGGACUAGAAAUAUGACUGUGUCCACUUUUGGAAGGUACAGUUGGCCUCGGAGUCUGUUGUGUGAUGGUGCGCACAGCAGACGGAGGUAACAGCAGCCUGCGGAGGGGCAGAUUUCCUUGUCACCAUGAAACGAUGUCCCCUACUCUCCAGUGCCAACCUUCCUUGUGCUCCCAGAAGGGCCGUCUCAGAGUGGGCAUCCAGUGGGCAUUUCUCUCUCCUCCUCAGUCAUGCUAUCCUACUGCCCUCCUGGCUCAGCCACACCAAUCCUCACGCCUUCCCCAGAUGCUCUGGUUCACAAUGUUCUCUCCCUUCUUAUACCACUGACUGAGCCCAUACACGCCUCCUCUAUCAUGAGUUAAUUUUCUUGUGUGUAUGUUUACCCCUCAACUAGAUAGUAACCCCUUGGCAUUUCUUCCACUGCCUUACACAGAAUGACCAUUCAAUCAGUGGUUCUUGGCUAAAUUAUGCAUUCAUUACAUCACCAUAAAGUUCAUCUCCAUGGGCUACAUAUCAACAUGGAAUAAAACUGCCACCCCAUGACCUAUUUAAAAAUGUGACAUCUCACGUGAGUGCUGGGAUGCUCUUCAAAGACAAGAAAAUAAAGGUUAUUUCCAUCGACUUCUUGAGGCUCUGUUAUUUUCCAUUGAUUGAAGGCUAUAUAUUUUUCCUAAUCUGAAAAGCCCAAUGAGGAGAAAAUUUGUGUCUACUCUCCUCCCAUCUCUUAAUAGCCCUGUUCCCAGCUGCCUUCAGUCUUGUUCUUGGCAGAGGGACAGGCAGAACCCUACUCCAAGGACUUGAAGAAUAUACCCUGAUUAGAGGUAAGAUACAGACCCCAAGAUGUGCUCUGGGUGAUGGGCAUCCUGCGGGCAAGAGGGAAUGAUGGCUGACCCAAGAUGAACUGUGGCUGUGAUGGUAGUAGAGGAUCUUAUUAUUUAUCCAAGCUUGGAUAAUGCAAAAAUCAGUUAUUUUUGGUUUACAAUAUGAUGUGCUAUUUCCAUGUCAAGUUUUACUUUUCAAAUUGUGUUCUGUUUAAUAUCACAAUAUCUCUGAAUGGCCUAAUGUGCACCCCAAUUUGUGGCAGUGAAAUAUGCCCUGGCAGUAUCUUAGGUUCAGGAGUCAUGAAGUCUGUACCAGGUGUCCAUUCACAGUAGAAGAUAUCUUUUUUUUUUUCAUCCUUAGUGGGCAAAUAGUGGCUACAUGAUUAAUUAAAAGGUGAGGAAAUGUUUUUUUUCCAGCACGUAAAGUGUACCUUUUUACUCCCUCCAUAUUUUUAAGUGAAGAUCGGGGCUCAAGGAGAAGCCUCAUUUUAUUUUUUGCACCUUAGAGGAUAAAAUCCUGAGGGCAGGGACACUUAGUCUCUUAGAGAAAACUCCAUGGCUUGUCAAUCAACACCAUGCAAAUACUGGGUGCAUGAAUGCCGGGUGGUAGGAACUCAAUAAUAUGUACAAAGAAUAGGAUGAAAGUUUCACAUAAAGUCUUCUUAUAUAAGAACAAAAUGAUGUAUUACAUUUAGCUGAAGCCUGAAAUGAAACAAGCCACGGACGGCUCUUGCUCAUUCCUUUGCUUCGCAUGGCUGUAUCUAUAGAUCUGGCCCUGGGGUCUGCAAUCAUUCAUCAUCCAAAGGCCACGGAGGCAUAAUUCCUCUCUAGAAUGAGACUGAUUGUGAACAUGGCUGGUACUUUGCAGUCAUGUCUCAGAAACACGUGGAGGCAUGGAGGGUGGGGGAUUCUGUCCAUACCGUUGCCAUGGCGCCACGCGGUGAUUCCACAACACAGCCUUCCCACAUUCUGGCCAAGCCAACUUGGAUGGUUUGCCCUGCGUGAUGCUCCUCAGGCUGGAAAGUGAUCAAGGUCGCUUCAGGAUUGCAGUUCUCAUUUUGUGUAUGGAAGUUUAACUCUGACAUGAACAUGAGCACAGGCUUCAGAUCUGCAAGGGGUGAUCCCAGGUGGUUUGUGAGUUUGCGGGGUGUACUGGUGUUUUAGCUGCAGGAUGCUUAGGUGCAGGAAGCUGUAGAAAUGGGAAUGAGAGCAAAAGGAGAUAGUGAGCUAAUGGCAAGGGCACGGGCGAUGGCUAAUUUUCAUGGUUCCAGUAUUUUAGCCUUUUCUACGAAAGAACAAAAAGGAAUUCAGGAACUUAAUGUAAACGUGAGUUUAAGGAUGUCUUUUGGAUUCUUGGCAGUGGCAGACCACCAAAUUGGGGCUUAUGGUUGUACAGGAGAGAGCUCCCUCCUGUCCUAAGCGUAGUGUGACCAGCAUGGAUAUCUACAAGCAGAGAAAUCCACACGUGGGCUCAGACCUCAUUUUAAUAAGCAAUUACAUGGGAGUAUCAAGAAUCCAGGGAACAAAGGUCACUAACUUCAUUUACUCAGUACCAGGAAAAACCUUGACCUGAGCUGAGAGGGCUCCUCCUGCUGGUGGCCCUGCAGCUGCUCAGGGGCGUCUCUGAAGUUGUGUCAGGAUUUCCACGCCCCUUCCACCUCCACAGCGGCGGGCGGGCUGCUCAGCAGGAUUUCCUCCCCAAGUCAACCCCGCCUCACCAGUCGGCCCUCAGCCCUGGCUACUUCACCAUUCGUCCUAGUUACCAAAAUGGAGGGGACAUCUCAAUAUUUUUCCAAACUUGCCCAGCUGAGGACUCACACUUAGCAGGGAACAGGUAAAAUGCCUGAGUGAAGGAGGAAGCAAAACUCCCCGACUGCCAGUGUCCGGCUCCUUUGGGCAGAUGCCCAACUUUGGGGAAUUCUUCCACUUCGAGUCCUGCCUCCGAUGGGGAGGCUUCAGAAGGCUUUGUUUCUGGGGCCAAGUUUCAGAGAGCGUACAGUAAAAAUGGACAUUAGAAUCGCCUUCCUCCAAAACUGUGUUACUCAUAUAAAAUUGAUCAAGAGCACAGACUCUGGAACCAAGCUGCAGGGGUUGAAUCCCAUCUCUGGUGCUUACCAGCUGUGUGACUUCAGGUAAGUGAUGAACUUCUCUGUGCCUCAGUGUUCUCUGCUGUAAAAUGGAGGUGAUAGCAGAGUGACAUAUGUGUAAAGCACUCCAAGUCAUGCCUGCACAUAAGUUUUAUGUUUGGCUGCUAUGAUUUUAAUACUUUAAUGAUUUUUCACACUUAAGGUUUUGAUUUCUUUGACAUUUUUGUGGUAAGAAGUGGAUAAGGAAUUAAGGAAUUCAUUUUUCUCCCCAAUGGUUAGCCAGUUAUCCAAAAUCACUUAUUGACUAAUCUGUCUUUCUACGCAUCUAAUGGGUUGAAUUGUGUACCCCUAAGUGUUGUUAAUGUCCUCACCCGCAGUCCCUCCGAUGUGACCUUACUGGAAAUGGGGGCACUGCAGCUGUAAUCAGUUAAGAAGGGGUCAUACUGGAGUGGGCAGCCUCUGAUCCAGUAUGUCUGGUGUCCUCAGAGGAAGAUGAAGACAGGACGCAGAGGGAAGAUGAUCACGAGCAGGCAGAAGCAGAGCCAGGAGGGAUGUGGCCGCAAGCCCAGGAGAAGGCCUGGGGGGCCAGAAGCCAGGAAAAGCAGGAAGGUCCCUCCUCGGGAGGCUUCAGGAGGAGCACGGCCCUGCCGACGCCUCGCUUUCACCCCUCUGGUCUCUAGGAAGCUUGCUGUGGUCGCACAACCCUCUUCUGAAGGGGCAGGGCCCCCACUUUAAGGGACCUGGGGCCCCCUUCACUCACAGAUGUUUAAUACCGACCCGCCAAGCUCAGCCACGAGUCACCAACCUCCUAGAAGCAUCGGAGCUUCUAGGCCGCAUCCCCAUCCGGGCCGCACCACUGACCAGAGGAUCCAGAACUUUCUGCCUGGAAUCUCCUGAGCUCACAGCCAGCCCUCUGCUCAGCUAGCCCUCUCUCUUCACUUUGGAGCUCCUAAGGGUUUCAUCCUUCAGGUCAAAAAUAAAGAACUGGGAGGAUUUUUUUUUAAGUUAUGGCAAAAUAUAGGUAUCUGGAUAUAUAUCCAGAAGUGGAAUUGCUGGGUCACAUAGUAGUUCUAUUUGUGACCUUGUUUUAAAUGUAGAUUCAGCGGCAUUAACUGCAUCCAGGCUUGGUGCAUGGACACAAGGAUUUUGAGGUCAAGCACAUAGAUGUGGACUCUAACAAGGAGGGACAUCACCACAAUCUCCAGGCCAAGAAAGGAAACACAGGGAGUUUGCUGGACAGGCUGUCACUCUCCGCAAGGGACAGGCUUCUCACUAGCUUGUCAGGAGGGUUUGGCAAGGGGCCUUUUGCCAGGGGCCUCCCUCCCCAGCCUCUGGUCCCUAUCACCAGCACGGAUCCCAAGACUGGUGCACUUGGGCCUCUGCUGCCCAGCUCUCUCUCCUCUCACCCUUGCCCGGUGGCAGCUGCAGACACCCCAGGCCAUGCACCUGCCCUGCAGACCCUGCUGUCACCAGACCACUGGUGAAGGGCCUGGCCUGUAUUACAUCAGCCUCUUGCUUAAAACUCCCCCAACAAGCCUGGCCAGGGGAGCCCUGCAGCCCUCCCCUCUCCAUUGGGUGCUAGAGUUUCCAGGCCUGGUGGGGAGCAGGCCAUGGAGAAGGUGCCGUCAGGUUUAUCAGAGUUCAUCUUGCUGUCUAACAGCAGGCGCCAGGCUGCCAGCAUCGCAGUGGCUUGAAUUUCAACCAUUUUCUCUGCUCAACACCUCUUGGGCGCUGCCACCCACACAUAAUAAGUUCCUUUCUUCCCCAGCAAGCUGGCAAAUGCAGCCCUGGACCCCCCACGUGGGGACACUCAGGGACACUCGGCUCCAUCAGACCGCCAGGCUGCUCACCUUCCUGGCGGCACCCUCAGCUGUAAUCCCAGCCGCCAGCGCAGAGGCGUGCCAAGGCCUCAUCGGCAGGAGUGGGUCAGCGUGCAAUGGCCGGGGCCUGGCUGUGGCAGGCUGUGUGGUCGCCAGCCGGUCACUGGGGUUAGCCUGCACUGGGACCCUGUAAGCAAGAAAGAACAGGCCUGCCUCUCUCUGACCUUACAGGGAGGUCUUGGGAACUGCUUUGCCUAAAUGGCAAAGUCCCAGGGAGGAAGGAACUAAAAAGGGAAAGACUAAAAAGCAACUCUAAGGUGUGUGGCUCAGGUCGGGCUCUGCUCCCAAGGGAGAGGCCGACGGGUGCUCACAGGCCCACAGGCGUGAGGUGGGCCUGAUGCAGCUGGAGGCACUCAGGUCUGAGUGUGUUUGGCUGUCCCUGAUGGUGGGUAGAGGGCUGCUUUAGUAAGAGAUUUACCUGGUACUUAGCUUUCCCUUUUUGAGAGCAAGAGAGAUUCCAUGUUUUAGAUUUCCUAUUUCAUCUGGUGCUCAAACGUGACCAUGACUCAAAAGACAUGACGCAUCAAGGCGCAAUGCGGUAAGAAAGUCUAUGCAGACGACAGCACAACUUGGUGUUGAGUUUCCUCUAUUGUCCGUUAGCUCUUUAUGUUAAUACACACAACACACCUCAUUUUAAUAGCCACAAACCACUUAAGAAUGUACCCACAAUCAGUGUACGCUGCCACCUUCUGAUGCCACUGAGGCUGUUUCUUAGUGCCUAUGUAUCUGUUUUUAUUAUUAUUAUUAGAAAGCAGCAAGGAGCACCUUACACACAAAUAUAUUUGAGUUCAUAAAACAAGUUCAUAAAAGUAAAACAAAAGGAAAGGCAGAUGCUGGGAUCGGUCGAGACCCCUGUGGCUCCGGGUGCCUGGGAACUUGCACGCUUCCUUCUCCAUCCCUCCGCUUGGCUCCUGGGUGGUGGACAGUGGAGGAGGGGCCUGACGUCCCCCGUGGUCUUAGGGUGGGGGUGAUGCGCCCCAGACAAAGGACAGGAGAGAAGGAAGGAGCAGCGGACAGAGUGGGCUUGUAGGCCUGCUCUAAUCAGGGGCCAUAGCCAUUCAGAUUUGUUCAUUUAUGUGACCUGAGAUGACAGCGGCCAUGCAAGUGAGGUUGGCAGCGACAGGAGGCCUUUACAUCCAUCAAGAAUGUCACCGUGGGCCAUGGGGCACCUCGCCCUCCUGCUCUCCAGCCACAAGGAGCUAACUCGCCCAGGCCUGGGGCCCCAGACCUAAGUCUACAUGCAGCCCUUUCCUGCUCCUGCCAGAUGCGUGCGCUGUCCUGGGACCUUGCUCAUGUCCCCUGCAGAAACUAGGACAUGUCACCCCGCACAGUGUGGGUAUCUAAGCAGGAGAGAGGGCAGCCCCCUGGUUCCCGCCGCAGCCUGAGGCUCUGCCCGGUGCAUCCAAUGGCUCAUUAAUCAUGGCAACAGCUGCACUGUCUGCAUCUCUUCCCAGGAGGACAAGUAGCAUUUAAAGGCCACCGGAUGUGCACAAGAGUUCUGUCUCUCUCUGUUUCAGUGACUCUAACUGGGCUGUGGGUUGGGCCCAUUCCCCAGCUGGCUCUCCCUGCCCCACCUCCCCAGAAGCUCCCAUGACUCUAGUCAGACAAUGACUUCCUUCAGAAAGCUGUUUCCCAGGAGGUUGCACCUAAGGAAAAGGGAGAAAGAUGAGCCUGGAGCAAUCCUAUGGUCCCCACCCAGCAGGAUCCCCUGCCUACUUCCCCCUAGACUAGAAGCAGAAAGCAGCCCCAUGUGCCACAGCAUGGGAGGCCCUCAGGGAGGGAAAGGUGAGGCCCGAGGCCCUGAGUCUGGGACGCGCUCCACAGUCCCAUUCUUUGUCCUGUGACGCUCAGCUGGUAGUCACAGGUGGGUCCUGAGGCAGGCUGCUGCAGUCUGCGGCAGGCACGGUGGCAGCCACCUUGGUUUUGUGAGCAGCCACGCAGCCAGGCUGGCCUCUGCUCAAAUGUGAGCUCUGCGAUGAGGGCAACCACUCAGGCUCCCUGAAAGUUUAGUUCUUACCAUUUCAUUUCAUUGCUUUACAGUGUUUUCAUUAAGAAUAAGUUGGCUCUUACAUAAAAUACUCCUAGGCAUUUCCCCCUCCAACCUUACCAGUUGUGCAAGACCUGGCUCAACCCGGGGCCUCUUCUGCCCCAGACUGGAAGGUCUCUUCCUUUUUAAACCCUCACACAUUUUAUCUGAAC